This 431-nucleotide ribosomal RNA is filed under the name uncultured bacterium. RNAcentral describes it as "partial 16S ribosomal RNA". It matches the Rfam family "Bacterial small subunit ribosomal RNA", at positions 29 to 507 of the family's 1533-position model. The record is from RNAcentral.
AACGAACGCUGGCGGCAGGCUUAACACAUGCAAGUCGAGCGCCCCGCAAGGGGAGCGGCAGACGGGUGAGUACCGCGUGGGAACGUACCUUUUGGUUCGGAACAACUCCGGGAAACUGGAGCUAAUACCGGAUAAGCCCUAACGGGGAAAGAUUUAUCGCCGAAAGAUCGGCCCGCGUCUGAUUAGCUAGUUGGUGAGGUAACGGCUCACCAAGGCGACGAUCAGUAGCUGGUCUGAGAGGAGGAUCAGCCACACUGGGACUGAGACACGGCCCAGACUCCUACGGGGAGCAGCAGUGGGGAAUAUUGGACAAUGGGCGCAAGCCUGAUCCAGCCAUGCCGCGUGAGUGAUGAAGGCCUUAGGGUUGUAAAGCUCUUUUGUCCGGGAAGAUAAUGACUGUACCGGAAGAAUAAGCCCCGGCUAACUUCGUG